This 690-nucleotide ribosomal RNA is filed under the name Salmonella enterica subsp. enterica serovar 4,[5],12:i:-. RNAcentral describes it as "bacterial LSU rRNA". It matches the Rfam family "Bacterial large subunit ribosomal RNA", at positions 1 to 722 of the family's 2925-position model. Lineage: Bacteria; Pseudomonadati; Pseudomonadota; Gammaproteobacteria; Enterobacterales; Enterobacteriaceae. The record is from RNAcentral.
GGGUUGUGAGGUUAAGCGACUAAGCGUACACGGUGGAUGCCCUGGCAGUCAGAGGCGAUGAAGGGCGUGCUAAUCUGCGAUAAGCGCCGGUAAGGUGAUAUGAACCGUUAUAACCGGCGAUACCCGAAUGGGGAAACCCAGUGUGAUUCGUCACACUAUCAUUAACUGAAUCCAUAGGUUAAUGAGGCGAACCGGGGGAACUGAAACAUCUAAGUACCCCGAGGAAAAGAAAUCAACCGAGAUUCCCCCAGUAGCGGCGAGCGAACGGGGAGGAGCCCAGAGCCUGAAUCAGCAUGUGUGUUAGUGGAAGCGUCUGGAAAGGCGCGCGAUACAGGGUGACAGCCCCGUACACAAAAGCGCAUGUGCUGUGAGCUCGAUGAGUAGGGCGGGACACGUGGUAUCCUGUCUGAAUAUGGGGGGACCAUCCUCCAAGGCUAAAUACUCCUGACUGACCGAUAGUGAACCAGUACCGUGAGGGAAAGGCGAAAAGAACCCCGGCGAGGGGAGUGAAAAAGAACCUGAAACCGUGUACGUACAAGCAGUGGGAGCACAGGUUUACCUGUGUGACUGCGUACCUUUUGUAUAAUGGGUCAGCGACUUAUAUUCUGUAGCAAGGUUAACCGUAUAGGGGAGCCGGAGGGAAACCGAGUCUUAACCGGGCGUUAAGUUGCAGGGUAUAGACCCGAAACC